RNAcentral lists this transfer RNA (68 nucleotides) under Marmota monax (woodchuck). Its description in RNAcentral is "tRNA.Ala". The record is from RNAcentral. Lineage: Eukaryota; Metazoa; Chordata; Mammalia; Rodentia; Sciuridae.
GGUCUGUGGCUCAGUGGUAGAACACUCAUCUGGCACUUGUGAGGCACUGGGUUCAAUCCUCAGCACCA